CCCGGCCCCGGCGGGCGGGGAUCCAUCGGCAGCGCCCUUCUGGCAGUUUUUAGAGCCUGCCUGUGAAGAGAAGCCCCCCGGGAGAGCAGAGCCCGCCGCAGGAGCCGACAUCCUCACCCUAACCAAGGGAGAAGAGUCCUUUCCCUGCUCCAGCCUGGGCUCCU
This is a long non-coding RNA of Empidonax traillii (willow flycatcher), 164 nucleotides long. RefSeq lists it as uncharacterized. The record is from RefSeq and is a predicted model, not a curated record. The transcript is spliced from 3 exons. Lineage: Eukaryota; Metazoa; Chordata; Aves; Passeriformes; Tyrannidae.